UACGGAAGGCAGCAGUGGGGAAUAUUGCACAAUGGGCGAAAGCCUGAUGCAGCUAUGCCGCGUGUAUGAAGAAGGCCUUAGGGUUGUAAAGUACUUUUCAUCGGGGAGGAAAAAACAAAAACUAAUAAUUUUAUUUCUUGACGUUACCCGAAAAAGAAGCACCGGCUAACUCCGUGCCAGCAGCCGCGGUAAUACGGAGGGUGCUAGCGUUAAUCAGAAUUACUGGGCGUAAAGGGCACGUAGGUGGUUUUUUAAAGUUCAGAUGUGAAAUCCCUGGGCUUUAACCUAGGAACUGCAUUUUGAAACUGAAAUACUAGAGUAUCGUAGAGGGAGGUAGAAUUCUAGGUGUAGCGGUGAAAUGCGUAGAUAUCUGGAGGAAUACCUGUGGCGAAAGCGGCCUCCUAAACGAAUACUGACACUGAGGGUGCGAAAGGCGUGGGGAGCGAAACAGGGAUUAGAUACC
This 463-nucleotide ribosomal RNA is filed under the name uncultured bacterium. RNAcentral's name for it is "bacterial SSU rRNA". It matches the Rfam family "Bacterial small subunit ribosomal RNA", at positions 340 to 786 of the family's 1533-position model. The record is from RNAcentral.